RNAcentral lists this long non-coding RNA (7382 nucleotides) under Lactuca sativa (garden lettuce). RNAcentral's name for it is "long non-coding RNA (LSAT_LNC006023)". The record is from RNAcentral. Lineage: Eukaryota; Viridiplantae; Streptophyta; Magnoliopsida; Asterales; Asteraceae.
AAGAGGAGAGAGGAUGGAGGCUGCCCAAAAACGUCUACAAACCCUAGAGGAGUCUUGUCCAUGUUUUUAGGUCAUCAGGGAUCUAUAUAUAUAGGAGGCAAUUAGGGUUAUCUAACAAGGAAACCCUAAUUUGGAUGCUUAAGCCCUAAGCAACCCAUGGAGUCCUUUCCUUAAGGCCUUGGACGAUUUCAUAUGGGCUUCCCCCAUAGAAUUCGUCCACCUUAUAAUAAAAGGCAAUCCAUGGCCCAAAUUGCAAUUAUCUUAUAAUUACAAUUCCAGUCCCUUAAGUUUAAUUAAUCUCUUUUAGUCACAAAACUAAUUACCAAUUAAUUAUUGACUAAUAUUAAUUAAACAAUAUGAUUUCUCCUUUAAUAUAUUAUUCUCAUAAUAUAUUAAUAAAUCAUAUGUAAUCCUUUCUCUCCAUAAUUCAUCCUAUCAAGUUGCUUUGGUGAAGGCAACCCAAAAGGACCAUGCACCAUCGGGUCAAGUACAUACCAAAAUAGUUAUGGACUUAGACACUAAUCCAACAGUCUCCCACUUGGAUAAGUCUAAUAACUAUUCUGCGUAUGACUUCAGAUCCUGAUCUGCAAUCGUAGCUUUCCAAAGCCGCUGUCAACUCUGAUCCUAUCAGAUACGCGUGUCCUUAGAUAAGGGAUCAUAUAUUCCUCCAUUCUAGAUAUCAUAUGAGAUAUGAUUUCAAAUCAUUCUCUUUGUACUAUAUCUCGAUUCCCGAUUUAUGACGACUGACUAAUUGAACAAAUCAAAUUAGCCCUAGCCCGGCCGAGCAUUUACGUUUGUCAUCACUAAAUCAUCGAGGGGCCCAAAGAUAUCGCUUUUAUCCUACUUUGGAUAAAAGGAACGGAUAAACUUUGAUACAAUGCUUGCUUGCACUCACUCACCGAAUCACACACAACAAUAUGUUUUAUAACACCAAGUUACUAGUGCGUUUACAUAUUAUCAAUGUGCAACCGAUUUGCAAGAUACAACUCACACAUCUCGGUUUCAAGAAUAUAAGAUGUUAUCGUCUCACCAAUCACUCGUGAUACAAUUCAUGGAGUGAUCCAAGUGAGCGUGGGUUUAAUCCAAUGCUCAAAUCAUAUUCAUAAGCACUCAUGAACGUUGCAGCAAACAUUUGCUUAUGUCUAAUACUCUUUAGACAAUCCACACACCAAUUCACGACAGUCUUCAUUCAUACCUACUUCCAACAUAUGAACGACUGUGGCCCGUUCGAAUAAUUUGACUGUUCUUAACCAAUUAAAUUAUUCAGGAAGUCAAAACAUGCAAAGUGAAACACAAGAAUAAUACUAAUCCCAUAUGGCCUCAAACCUUUGAGUAUAAAUAAAACACCUUUUAUUUAUCACCAUAUCGAUUACUCAUUAUUUGUCGUUUCGGGUAAUCAACUUCUUACUUGAAUUAUUACACUUGUCCCAUGCUCCUAGCAUGCACACAAUGUUUACCUAUGGUUCUUACUUUGUGAAAUAGAUCAAAUUGAACACAUUUCCAAUCAUUCUCAUUUCACAACUCCAAAUCCUUUUUCAUAAGUGAAAGAAUAUCAAAUUCUUGCUACUUAUAGAAUAUGCUAGAUUCUAACAUUUUAUGCAAUGAUCUCUUUUGUAAUGUCACUGCACCAAAGUCACAAAGACUAUUGCCAAUGAUAUUACAAAGUCUUCUAUCGGAGAUUGUUACAAGACAAUUCCUUAGAUAUGAUGUCUCUCACUCAAAGUACAUUCCUUUGAACAUCCUUUUGCAUAAAAGUUUCUAAUCUAGACAUAGAUUUUCAAUAUUCAAUUCCCAAUAUGGACACGUUUCCAUAUUUUCCAUAUGACAACUCAUUCUUAAUAGAAUCUUAUCUAUUCAUAAUAAUGUCGAUAUGGUCCAUCCAAUAUGGAAACAUUUCCAUAUUUUCCAAUACUAUACUUCCAACUACUCACAAGCGACCAAUCCUCGUCGAACUUUGGAUUGUCCUUUGAUAGUUGUUUAAUUAUUUUAGUCAAAACCGAUUCUAGUCCUUUUUCCCUCUAAAUGCGCUAGACAUUUGGAAAAUUUUAGAAUGGUCAAACAUUAAAGCAUUUGCAAUCGAUCCUAUACCCGAAGCGUAUGGGACACGACGCAUAAUGUUUUAUUUGCUAUGUUCUCAAAAUUCGAAUUGUGAAGAGGAAUGCCGUAAUCAUAAUCGAAAUUUUAAGAACACACUAUGUACCUUUGACUAAAUUUAUUAACAUUUCUCAACCUAAUCCUUUAGAUUUGAAAUGAAGCAUAAUAUUCUCUCCCUUAAUUAUAGCAAAACAACUUUUCAACUCUUACAACUUUGCAAAGUAUGACUCUUGUUUUCUAUAAUUAAUAUUGCUAACCUUGCAAUACUUUCCUUAAUAAUCAUACAAUCAUAACAUUUAUGCUCCCACUAUCAUGAUGAUUAUUAUAAAACAUAACACUUAUGCUCCCACUAGCUUCGACAUGUAUUCAUAAACAUCUUAACUUUCAGAAAAAAAAACUUAUUGAAUUUCUUAAGUUCAUGUUUCUAAUACUUAGUGCUUUGAUAAUCCUUUAUCAAUGCUUCUUGAACUUAUACACCUUUGCCUUCGAUAGUUCAUAUGUGUGUCUAAACAAUUAAGACUAAUUGCCAAACCUCACAAUUCAAAUUAUGGAAAGGGAUGCCGUAACCAUGAUUGAAUUUGAGAAUGCAAUUUUACAAUCACUAUCUUCUUAAAAUCUCUCUUAGUGAAAGCAUUUCCUCACAAUCAUUUUCAUGAAGGAGGAAAUCUUAUGACACUUAGAUUUAAACGGUGUAUGUGUUCCUAUCCAUGUGAAUUUGUUAAAACCAAAGUUUACGACAAAUUCAAACUCAUAUGGACCGAACUUUCUUAAUCUUGAUUUCUUGCCUUAUGGUAGCACAGCUGCCCACCAUGUCUUCCAAGUAGUUAAGCAGCUCACCUUUUCCUAUCAAUGUACCUUUCAUUGAUUAAGGUGCUUUGCCUUUUAUGCGUUCAAAAUGAGAACUCAUAGAACUCACAUGCAUAAUUAACUCGAUUGGAUUGGCACAGAAUCAAAAUAAUGUCAACACGAUAGGUUGUAAACCUCAACUCGUGUGCUAGUGAUGAUCGAUAAGGUUUAUUUGAUUUGUUCUUGAAACCUUUCAAGACCAUUAAGACUCCCACUGACUCCUUGACAUAUAAGAUUCUCUUGUCAAUAACCAUUUCUUGACAAACAAAUAUUCAAGAGUUAGUGUAGCUUUUAUCAAAACACUUCAUAAAUUGGUCCUAGUUGGUCUUUGUCUUAUCCAAGACAUCACAACUUUCCACAUUUGAUGAAUGUUAUAAACCUUCUUAAUACUUUUCACUCAAUGUCACAAUCUUAACUUUAAGACUUGUUUUGGAACGAAGUAUGAUUGACUUCUUGAUUUAACCAUUUCUUCAAUUCUUGAUUCCUCUUCUUAGACAUACAAUUGUACUAAGACUCACUUAGAGGAUCAAUUGAGAUAUGGUUCUUAAUCAUUAAGACCUAUCAUAAAGCAUAAAAGGUACUCUCCCUUCUUCUUAGAAUGGAGAAACUUUUAUCUUUCUGCCUACUUGAUUCUUCUUAUUCGUUCUGCUAUUGAUUUAAACCUUUUCAAUCAAUUCAGAAUUACACUUAAUCUUAUAAGUAUAAUCAUAUUUACUAAACCUUUAGUAAAUCAUGACGAAUAUCUUUGUUACUCUUAUGGUGGACUUGAUCAACACGCAACUUUGUGUACUCGAUCUCCUAGUCCUUCACUUGACACUUUGUCAAUGAAUUAGUCUAAUUUCCAAAUAUGAAAUUUCUCAUUCAUCGUGCAACCAAGUUGCAUGAUUCCAAGUUUCUGUCCAAUUGAAACUUGGGCGAUGAGAAACUCUCCCUAUUUGGUAAAUUCUCGACUUUCCAUAAAUAACAUAAUAAGAACCAAAUCCAUUAUUGCUAAUAAUAGAAACAUUUUAACAUCAAUUUUUCAUACACGCCAUUGCAAGGAUAAAUAAAUAAAAUAAAAUCAAAAUUUAUUUUAUUGCGGAAAAAAUUUGUCCUUACAAUGCAAUUCAUUGAAAAACUAUGCUAAUACAUCUUUCUUAGCAAUCUAAUUCUAACUCUAAGUAGUAGCUCAAGAAUCUAAUCUUCGAGAAAUGCGAUCGAAAUCCAUUCCUUCACGGUUAGAUUCUGCUCACUUCUUCCCUUAAGCUUCCUUUCUUUUCUUCGAUCCUACAAAACAUCAAUUGUAAUCUUAUCACAUUAUGUAUUAAGAAUCUAGAAUAGAAGCUUAAAAGAGUUAGUUAAUGGAUUUUACCUAUAUUAGAGCCAUACGUUUCGACUCUCCCAUCUCUUAGAUCUCUUAGGUAAAUGGGGCAGCUUCGUCUCCAAUGCCCUUUCUCUUGGCAAUAAAAGCAAAUUGACUCUUUUGGAACAUGACAUGGAACUACUUCAGACAUUGCCUUUCUCUUAUGAUCAAACUUUUCGAUCAUAGCAUGUCUUUCGUUGCCAUUGUCUAUAUCCAUAGAGGUCUUGAAGGCAGAUUCACCAAUCAACUUUGCUUUUCUAUUGCGCCAAACCAUUGCUGAUUCAGCAGCAAUAAGCAUAUAGGUGAGAUCUAUAAGGGUCACGUCGCGGUUCAUCAUAUAGUACUCUCUUACGAACUCACUAUAUGAGUUAGGAAGUGACUGAAGAACCCAAUCAACAGCCAUUUCCUCACAGACAACGGAUCCCAACAUUCUUAACCUAUCAAUGUGUGACUUCAUCCCUAGGACGUGUGCACACACCGACUUUCCUUCUUUAUGUUUACUUGCCAAAAGGGCUUGAGUGAUCUUGAACUUUUCAAGCCUUUGAACUUGUGGGUUAGGGAGAAUAAUUGGAGGAGGUGGAGGAAGUGAAGCAUGAUUUCUUGUUCCUCGAUCGAAUCGUGGAAUAUCAUCUUCAUGUGGAAUGCUUGUUCCACGGGAUUUGGGAAGACCAUAGUUGUCGAACUUUGACAUCUACAAAACGGGAGAAAACGAAUUCAAGUUAGUUGAUUGAUUGAGUCCUUAGUAAAUCACCCAAAUGAGAUACUAAGGCUAGGACCCAACACAAUAUUCUACAACUCGGGAGAGGGAUGCCGUAACCCAAAUUGCAGAACAUUUGAAGGUAAGUGAAUGACGAUUCACUAAUUUCCACCAUGAAAAACGAAAAAGAAAUUUAAGUUUUAAAUCUAUGAAAACUCCUAGAUCCUUUGAGAUUCAUUGAACAUUUCAAUGGCAUGUUUAAAUCUCGAUAUGCCCCUCUUGUUUGUGACUGGGAUGCCGAGGAUCACAAAGCGGGUGUGAAUAACCAUGCAAACUUACAUGGUGCCCUCACAUGUUACAGUCACCUAUUCGAUGUGCCGGUAAACCACACACGCUCCACCGAACUAUGACAAACAUUGAGUCACCCUUUGCUACCUUUGCUUAGAACCAUUUAGUGUGCCGGUAAACCACACACGCUCCACUAACGUCUUCGCAAGGGCACAAAGUGUAAUUUCAUGGAAUUGCAUCAAUUCACUUUUGCCUAAGUAACUAAGAUUGGGAAUUUUAUGAAAACAUUUAGUUACUUUUAUACUUCAUUAUACUUAUAAUGGAAGGUUUCGUCCUAUCCUACCCGUUCGGCUAACGACCCUCCACUAGUCAAGAGUGCGGUGGGUAAGAGUGGAUACCCAUUCAAUCGCCAUUUUAUAGGCAAUUUCCUUAAACACCCCUUAUAGACCAGCUUCGUGAAUGAGGCCUACUAACGGUAAGACUGACUUUUACUCAUACAUAUAUAUAAUGUUAGACUUUUAAUGUUAUAUAUAGUAUAGGGUGUAUUUUACACUUUUAAAAUACUAGGUGGUCAAAUUUAACAAUUAUACUUUUAAUUCAAUUAAAUUGUAAACCUAAACUUUUAUGGAUUUAUUAAACCUCUUUUAAUUAUACACCUUAAUUAAUUAAUAAAACCAUAAGGGUGUGAUUUGAACUUUUUCAAAACUAUACUAGAGUUUUAGAAUUUAACAUUCCUAAUUAAACUUUUAAUCAACUUUUAAAUUCCAAAACUUGAGGGCAAGUUUUGAAACAUUUCAACACAUUAGGGUUUAGAAUUUAAAUAUACAUCAAAAUUAAACUAUUUAAUCAAAAUUUAAAUUCCAAAACUUGAGGGCAAGUUUUGAAACCUUUUUCAAAACAUUAGGGUUUCAACUAUUUAAAUUUCAAAACAACAAAACUUUUGGGUUCAAAUUUAAACUAUAAAACCUAAAGGGAAAAAUAUGAAACUUUUCAUAACAACAAGGAUCAAAUAACAAAUAAUCUAAAUUAACAUUUAAUCACAUAAUUAUCCAUAUUUGAUUUAUUUAAUGAUUUCUUGCAAAACAAUUUAUCAAUUUAGUCAAAAUAAUUAAUCAAUUAUCACAUAAGGAAACAAUUAUCUUAUUAAUUGAUAAAUAUCUUCAAUUAGAUCAAAAAUAUAGUCAAAUAUAUCAUAAAAUCGGAUUAAUAUUGAUCUAACAUGAUAAGGUAACUAUCCAUAAGCAAAAACAGCAAGAAAUCCCGAAGUACCCUCCAUCUGACGAGUUGACUCGUCGAGUCAGGCUUGGACUCGUCGAGUCACCUUGGACUCGGCGAGUUCAGCCAUGGACUCGGCGAGUCCAUCUUCCAAAACAUCAAAAAUCGAAUUUUUCAGUUAUGUCAAGCAUCAAUACAAUUGAAACCAAUCAAGGCUCUGAUACCACUGAUGGGUUUUGGUCAUAAGACAUCCUAUGUGCUCAUACAAACCCUAAUGCUUGGAUCUAGGUUUCUCUAUUGUACAUGCAAGUUAUCCAAGACUAUAAACCCUAAUUCUAGCAUUCAAGUAAUCAUAUUAACAUGAGAAUAGGUUUAAGAUAUUACCUUGAUUGUUAUGUAGCAAUAACAAUCCCAAAUCUCCUUGUAUUGACUUUAGAAAGCUUAGAGUCACAAUUGUCACUCCUCUAAUGGUUCACAAACACCAUAAGCAAGAGGAUGAAGAGGAGAGAGGAUGGAGGCUGCCCAAAAACGUCUACAAACCCUAGAGGAGUCUUUUCCACGUUUUUAGGUCAUAAGGGAUCUAUAUAUAUAGGAGGCAAUUAGGGUUAUCUAACAAGGAAACCCUAAUUUGGAUGCUUAAGCCCUAAGCAACCCAUAGACUCCUUUAAUUAAGGCCUUGGACGAUUUCCUUAUGGGCUUCCCCAUAGAAUUCGUCCACCUUAUAAUAAAAGGCAAUCCAUGGCCCAAAUUGCAAUUAUCUUAUAAUUACAAUUCCAGUCCCUUAAGUUUAAUUAAUCUCUUUUAGUCACAAAACUAAUUACUAAUUAAUUAUUGACUAAUAUUAAUUAAACAAUAUGAUUUCUCCUUUAAUAUAUUAUUCUCAUAAUAUAUUAAUAAAUC